ACGAUGACGGUGGUGCUUGCACCGCCUGAUUAGUGGCGAACGGGUGAGUAACACGUGAGUAACCUGCCCUCCACUUCGGGAUAACCUCGGGAAAUCGUGGCUAAUACCGGAUACGAGCACUCAUCGCAUGGUGAGUGCUGGAAAGAUUUAUCGGUGGGGGAUGGACUCGCGGCCUAUCAGUUUGUUGGUGAGGUGAUGGCUCACCAAGACGAUGACGGGUAGCCGGCCUGAGAGGGCGACCGGCCACACUGGGACUGAGACACGGCCCAGACUCCUACGGGAGGCAGCAGUGGGGAAUAUUGCAAAUGGGCGAAAGCCUGAUGCAGCGACGCCGCGUGGGGGAUGACGGCCUUCGGGUUGUA
RNAcentral lists this ribosomal RNA (362 nucleotides) under Brachybacterium sp. Al-Dhabi-27. RNAcentral describes it as "bacterial SSU rRNA". It matches the Rfam family "Bacterial small subunit ribosomal RNA", at positions 66 to 427 of the family's 1533-position model. Lineage: Bacteria; Bacillati; Actinomycetota; Actinomycetes; Micrococcales; Dermabacteraceae. The record is from RNAcentral.